Long non-coding RNA from Euleptes europaea (tarantolino), 427 nucleotides. RefSeq lists it as uncharacterized. The record is from RefSeq and is a predicted model, not a curated record. The transcript has 2 exons. Lineage: Eukaryota; Metazoa; Chordata; Lepidosauria; Squamata; Sphaerodactylidae.
GUGGUGGCAACAGACGAGGCAGCCGUGGCGGUAGAGGCCGAGGCAGAGGUGCUGGCAGGAGUUCCAAGCAGCAACUUUCUGCAGAAGAAUUGGAUGCACAGUUGGAUGCUUAUAAUGCCAGGAUGGAUACCAGUUAAACCAGUUGGCGCAUUUUGUGCAUGGAAAGGACUGCAGACAUCUCAUUCCAUGCUCCCCAGGGGGAGGGAAGGGGUGUAUGGCGGUGGCUACUAAUAUCAAGGAUGGGAUUUGUUUUACUUUUAUGUUUUGGAAUAGGUUUUAAACUCAUGUAAAGGUUUCUUUCUUUUUUUUAAAUUCUGAAACAGAUCUGUUUUGUACUGAGUUAUUUUUGGGAAAAAUUUUACUGGUUGCCUGUUGGGCCAUGGUGGCUUUUUCACCUUGGCAGUAAUAAAAUAGAAACGUGUCUAGA